AUCCUACGGGAGGCAGCAGUGGGGAAUAUUGCACAAUGGGCGCAAGCCUGAUGCAGCCAUGCCGCGUGUAUGAAGAAGGCCUUCGGGUUGUAAAGUACUUUCAGCAGUGAGGAAGGCGGGUGUGUUAAUAGCACAUUCGUUUGACGUUAGCUGCAGAAGAAGCACCGGCUAACUCCGUGCCAGCAGCCGCGGUAAUACGGAGGGUGCGAGCGUUAAUCGGAAUUACUGGGCGUAAAGCGCAUGCAGGUGGUUUGUUAAGUCAGAUGUGAAAGCCCGGGGCUCAACCUCGGAAUUGCAUUUGAAACUGGCAGACUAGAGUACUGUAGAGGGGGUAGAAUUUCAGGUGUAGCGGUGAAAUGCGUAGAGAUCUGAAGGAAUACCGGUGGCGAAGGCGGCCCCCUGGACAGAUACUGACACUCAGAUGCGAAAGCGUGGGGAGCAAACAGGAUUAGAUACCCUGGUAG
RNAcentral lists this ribosomal RNA (464 nucleotides) under uncultured bacterium. RNAcentral's name for it is "bacterial SSU rRNA". It matches the Rfam family "Bacterial small subunit ribosomal RNA", at positions 335 to 793 of the family's 1533-position model. The record is from RNAcentral.